This 18-nucleotide unclassified non-coding RNA is filed under the name Mus musculus (house mouse). RNAcentral's name for it is "oocyte_clustered_small_RNA11873". Lineage: Eukaryota; Metazoa; Chordata; Mammalia; Rodentia; Muridae. The record is from RNAcentral.
GAGGUGAUCCGAGAAAGU